RNAcentral lists this transfer RNA (73 nucleotides) under Rhizoctonia solani AG-8 WAC10335. RNAcentral describes it as "tRNA-Ala (AGC) (tRNA-Ala-AGC-4-1)". It matches the Rfam family "tRNA". Rfam says of the family: Transfer RNA (tRNA) molecules are approximately 80 nucleotides in length. Lineage: Eukaryota; Fungi; Basidiomycota; Agaricomycetes; Cantharellales; Ceratobasidiaceae. The record is from RNAcentral.
GGGCAUGUAGCGCAGUUGGUAGCGCGCUCGCUUAGCAUGCGAGAGGUCCUCGAUUCGAAUUGGGGCUUGACAG